Molecule: ribosomal RNA, 472 nt
Filed under: uncultured bacterium
Lineage: Bacteria
Description: bacterial SSU rRNA
Rfam family: Bacterial small subunit ribosomal RNA
Source: RNAcentral
UGGGGAAUAUUGGACAAUGGGCGAAAGCCUGAUCCAGCCAUGCCGCGUGUGUGAAGAAGGUCUUCGGAUUGUAAAGCACUUUAAGUUGGGAGGAAGGGCAGUAAAUUAAUACUUUGCUGUUUUGACGUUACCGACAGAAUAAGCACCGGCUAACUCUGUGCCAGCAGCCGCGGUAAUACAGAGGGUGCAAGCGUUAAUCGGAAUUACUGGGCGUAAAGCGCGCGUAGGUGGUUUGUUAAGUUGGAUGUGAAAUCCCCGGGCUCAACCUGGGAACUGCAUCCAAAACUGGCAAGCUAGAGUAUGGUAGAGGGUGGUGGAAUUUCCUGUGUAGCGGUGAAAUGCGUAGAUAUAGGAAGGAACACCAGUGGCGAAGGCGACCACCUGGACUGAUACUGACACUGAGGUGCGAAAGCGUGGGGAGCAAACAGGAUUAGAUACCCGUGUAGUCCCUGAGCGGGCUGGCAAGGCGCAU